Molecule: ribosomal RNA, 584 nt
Filed under: uncultured bacterium
Lineage: Bacteria
Description: partial 16S ribosomal RNA
Rfam family: Bacterial small subunit ribosomal RNA
Source: RNAcentral
UGGGGAAUAUUGCACAAUGGGCGCAAGCCUGAUGCAGCCAUGCCGCGUGUGUGAAGAAGGCCUUCGGGUUGUAAAGCACUUUCAGCGAGGAGGAAGGUGGUGAGCUUAAUACGCUCAUCAAUUGACGUUACUCGCAGAAGAAGCACCGGCUAACUCCGUGCCAGCAGCCGCGGUAAUACGGAGGGUGCAAGCGUUAAUCGGAAUUACUGGGCGUAAAGCGCACGCAGGCGGUUUGUUAAGUCAGAUGUGAAAUCCCCGGGCUCAACCUGGGAACUGCAUUUGAAACUGGCAAGCUAGAGUCUCGUAGAGGGGGGUAGAAUUCCAGGUGUAGCGGUGAAAUGCGUAGAGAUCUGGAGGAAUACCGGUGGCGAAGGCGGCCCCCUGGACGAAGACUGACGCUCAGGUGCGAAAAGCGUGGGGCAGCAAACAGGAUUAGAUACCCCUGGUAGUCCAGCGCUGUAAACGAUGUCGAUUUUGGAGGUUGUGCCCCUUGAGGCGUGGCUUCCGGAGCUAACGCGUUAAAUCGACCGCCUGGGGAGUACGGCCGCAAGGUUAAAACUCAAAUGAAUUGCGGGGUCUAGCUG